This 62-nucleotide transfer RNA is filed under the name Dorymyrmex brunneus. RNAcentral describes it as "tRNA-Ser". Lineage: Eukaryota; Metazoa; Arthropoda; Insecta; Hymenoptera; Formicidae. The record is from RNAcentral.
GAUAUAUAAAUCUAUUGAACUUCUAAUUCAAUUUAAAUGAUACAUAAAUUUCAUAUAUAUCU